CCCAGGUCAGAUCUCGAACUCUGUUCUCAAUUCGAAACGAGAUGAGCGCCUCCUGUUCUCUGAUUCCACAUCUCGAUACUGCCUCCAGCAUGGAGGUUCAAGGGCUAGAUUCGUCAUGGAUACUACACCGACAAGAUGCAAACCAGACGGAAUAUGGGUGCUACAGCCCAAGCCGGAGCUUCGACUCGGCGAGCUAUGGAAGCAGCGGCGGCGCCGAAUUUGGAGAAGGUAGCGGAAGUUCCAGGGCCGGCACUCCAGGUGCCGCUACCCGUCGCUCCGAUUCACCGCAUUGCCGGGGUCAUGGAGCGACAGGUGCGUAAUCACUGAUUUUAACAUCUGACAAAUUACUCAGAAUCGGAUUUAACAUGGCGAGUAGCAUUUUGCCCCUGUAGCUAGCGCACAAAUCUCGUGAUUUAGUGGUCUGGAGAUUAGACCCGGUUCUAAUACGAGGACAAACUGACAUCUCAGGGGAAAACCAAGAGCAACUAUAUGUGAUGUCUGGUUUCUUUGAGGCAGUCUGGCGUAAGAUAAAACGCUCGUGGAAUCAUUUUAGGUCUGGGCAAAAUAACCCCGGAAUCAAAUCUCUCUGGUUUCUAAGAGAUGCAAAGUUUGUUUCAGAGGUUGUUUUUCAGUUAGUGUGAGAGGUUGUAAUUUAGAUAAGGAUCAGAACAGAAUAGGCACUUAUGCAGUAGUAUUUAUGCUUGCCCUGUGGUCCUCUAGCCGCUGAUCAGGUAAGAUCCCAUCGUUCGAUUUUGCUUGCAUUUGAUUUUAUGAGAUUUCCUCCGAUCUGAUGGAGUUGGAUCAAACUGCAGCAAGGAGUGACGAGCGGUCCCGCGUGGCAGCAGGUCGAGUGCUUGGAGAAGUUCGUCGCCUGCAACGCCAUGGACCAGUCGUGCGUACACCGGGCCUCUCCGAUGCCCUGCGUUGAGGACGCCUCCACCUUGGGACUGCGAAUUGGAUCUGCAGCUCGCUGUCAUCUCACAGCUUGUCGGGGGAUGCCGUGGAGGCUUGCUGAAUCAGCUUAUUAUAAGCUUCGGUUCUCUGUUUGAGAGGAUGAUAUAUGUAAUUUCAUGUGUUCUGCAAAGAGGCAGUAUGCACAAAACAGCAAGGUACCUUUAGAAGCGAUGCAAUCAGGUGCCAGUGGAAUCCUGUUGGUCUACUACGAGCUCCUUGUGCGGCUUACUUUUUAGGCAAACUUUGUUUUCUAAGAUGAGAUGAGAAGUUCAGUUGCCAACUGACAUGUACAGUUUGCUUUCGUUAUAUUUGCUAUGGGCUUGUAACCCCAGUCUCGUUC
This is a long non-coding RNA of Lolium perenne, 1294 nucleotides long. RefSeq lists it as uncharacterized. Lineage: Eukaryota; Viridiplantae; Streptophyta; Magnoliopsida; Poales; Poaceae. The record is from RefSeq and is a predicted model, not a curated record.